ACUCAAAUGAAUAGACGGGGACCCGCACAAGCGGUGGAGUAUGUGGUUUAAUUCGAAGCAACGCGCAGAACCUUACCAGCUUUUGACAUGGGACGUAUAGGGAUCAGAGAUGAUUUCUUUCACUUCGGGUGGCGUCCACACAGGUGCUGCAUGGCUGUCGUCAGCUCGUGUCGUGAGAUGUUGGGUUAAGUCCCGCAACGAGCGCAACCCUCAUUGCUAAUUGCCAUCAGGUAGGGCUGGGCACUUUAGCGAAACUGCCGGUGAUAAGCCGGAGGAAGGUGGGGAUGACGUCAAGUCCUCAUGGCCCUUAUAGGCUGGGCUACACACGUACUACAAUGGCGGUGACAAAAGGCAGCAAUGGCGUAAGCCUGAGCGAAUCCCAAAAAGCCGCCUCAGUUCGGAUUGUUCUCUGCAACUCGAGAGCAUGAAGUCGGAAUCGCUAGUAAUCGUAGAUCAGCAUGCUACGGUGAAUACGUUCCCGGGUCUUGCACACACCGCCCGU
Molecule: ribosomal RNA, 502 nt
Filed under: uncultured bacterium
Lineage: Bacteria
Description: partial 16S ribosomal RNA
Rfam family: Bacterial small subunit ribosomal RNA
Source: RNAcentral